Molecule: ribosomal RNA, 482 nt
Filed under: uncultured bacterium
Lineage: Bacteria
Description: partial 16S ribosomal RNA
Rfam family: Bacterial small subunit ribosomal RNA
Source: RNAcentral
GACGAACGCUGGCGGCGUGCCUAACACAUGCAAGUCGAACGGAACUGUUUUGAAAGAUUUCUUCGGAAUGAAUUUGAUUUAGUUUAGUGGCGGACGGGUGAGUAACGCGUGAGUAACCUGCCUUCAAGAGGGGAAUAACAUUCUGAAAAGAAUGCUAAUACCGCAUGACAUAUCGGAACCACAUGGUUUUGAUAUCAAAGAUUUUAUCGCUUGAAGAUGGACUCGCGUCCGAUUAGUUAGUUGGUGAGGUAACGGCUCACCAAGACCGCGAUCGGUAGCCGGAAUGGGAGGGUGAACGGCCAAAUUGGGAAUGAGACAACGCACAGAAUCCUACCGGAGGGAGGAGGGGGGGAUAUUGCGCAAUGGGGGCAACCCUGACGCAGCAACGCCGCGUGAAGGAUGAAGGUUUUCGGAUUGUAAACUUCUUUUAUUAAGGACGAAAAAUGACGGUACUUAAUGAAUAAGCGCCGGCUAACUACGUG